GAAGUCUCUGUCCAAAAAGUACAUAUUGACUGCUCGAAUUCAAUCACUAUUGCUUAUUUAAUUUUUCAAUUACAUAAGAUUUUUGUUUUUGCUGAGGAUGGUGGCCACAGCCCACAUGAGCUCUACGCUGAUGCGUGGUUAAGAGACGGUGAGUGAUCAGAGAUGAUCAGACCAUAAAAUAUUAUAUCAUAUAGGUACUGAAUAAACAGCUUGAAUCUGAGAUCACCCGCUGCUCCUUCUUCAUCACCAUUCGUGCAAAAUCAUGACGUCAAGUCACGUGAGCACGCAGACCAAUCAAUUUCACCAUGACAACCAAAUUAUUCAGUGUAUCUGGGAUUCGAAAAGUUCUAUUCAGACACCUGCCGGAGCUGUUUGUUGCAGCAUAUCCAAGCUCCAUCCUCCUCUGCAGUUUUUGCUGAAUUCUGACGCUAGUAUGUAGAAACUCUCAAUCCAGAUUACUCGAGUCAACUUCGUACUUCACACAAUGAGAGGAAGUUGAUUGAAGUCUUCUCACAAAACGUUAUGGAAAUAAUACUUAGGUGGUUCGGACAGCCCCAUUCAUGCGUGUACAAUGUUGAACAAAAUCAGAAAGAUUCAAGUGUCAACUUCAACUUCGAAGUUUCAACUUGGGCUGGAAGCUUCAAGUGUGCAACUGUUCUCAACGGAGAAGGACUUUAUUGAUGCUUCUACUUCUUUUGCAUUGAAGGCUGGAGGCGUGGGACUGGGACAUGGAUGGAUUGUGCGAGACGCGACGCAAGGUUCAUGCUACACAGAGCACCAACAAAUGCUGACCUACAAGACCAUUCAAGAAUGUCAAUUGUGUUCUACCAGCAUAAAGGGCUCAAUAAGGACAAGGACAACCAUGGGUCUCCUCACUUGGCUCAGCUUUAUUGCAAAAUGCGAGACGACUGGAUGACUACAUCAGAAUGGUCAGAGUAAUGAGUGGGCGAAUGGUGGUUGAACGUCAUCUUCUUGCCUCAAGGAACCCAUAUCUGCAUCAGGUCAAUGUAGCUGAAAUUCGGCUGGCAAGUUAGUUUUCGGCAUAGCAACCACCCGGACACCAUGGUGACCAAGGGUCAGCACUCGUGUAUGAUCACAGGCUGGAGGCGUGGGACUGGGACAUGGAUGGAUUGUGCGAGACACAAGGCUCAUGCUACCCAGAGCACCAACAAAUGCUGACCUACAAGACCAUUCAAGAAUGUCAAUUGUGUUCUACCAGCAUAAAGGAGAAGGACAACCAUGGGUCUCCUCACUUGGCUCACAACUGUACAACUCACUACUUCAUCAAGAUAAUGUAGCUGAAAAUUAACUGGCAACAGAAGUUUUGCAGAGAAUCUACAUGCAAAGUAUCCACCAGGUCAACAUGGUGACCAAGGAUCAGUACUACCCAGCGAGUAAAUACUAAUCA
Molecule: RNA transcript, 1408 nt
Organism: Nilaparvata lugens (brown planthopper)
Lineage: Eukaryota; Metazoa; Arthropoda; Insecta; Hemiptera; Delphacidae
Exons: 6
Source: RefSeq, a predicted model, not a curated record